Molecule: ribosomal RNA, 513 nt
Filed under: uncultured bacterium
Lineage: Bacteria
Description: partial 16S ribosomal RNA
Rfam family: Bacterial small subunit ribosomal RNA
Source: RNAcentral
GACGAACGCUGGCGGCGUGCUUAACACAUGCAAGUCGAACGAAAAGAGGGAAAGAGCUUGCUCUUUCCGGAAUUGAGUGGCAAACGGGUGAGUAACACGUAAACAACCUGCCUUCAGGAUGGGGACAACAGACGGAAACGACUGCUAAUACCGAAUAAGUUCCAAGGGCCGCAUGGCCCAUUGAAGAAAAGGUGGCCUCUACCUGUAAGCUAUCGCCUGACGAGGGGUUUGCGUCUGAUUAGCUGGUUGGAGGGGUAACGGCCCACCAAGGCGACGAUCAGUAGCCGGUCUGAGAGGAUGAACGGCCACACUGGAACUGAGACACGGUCCAGACUCCUACGGGAGGCAGCAGUGGGGAAUCUUCCGCAAUGGGCGAAAGCCUGACGGAGCAACGCCGCGUGAGUGAUGACGGCCUUCGGGUUGUAAAACUCUGUGAUCCGGGACGAAAAGGCAGAGUGCGAAGAACAAACUGCAUUGACGGUACCGGAAAAGCAAGCCACGGCUAACUACGUG